RNAcentral lists this ribosomal RNA (253 nucleotides) under uncultured bacterium. RNAcentral describes it as "partial 16S ribosomal RNA". It matches the Rfam family "Bacterial small subunit ribosomal RNA", at positions 524 to 776 of the family's 1533-position model. The record is from RNAcentral.
UACGAAGGGGGCUAGCGUUGCUCGGAAUCACUGGGCGUAAAGGGUGCGUAGGCGGGUCUUUAAGUCAGGGGUGAAAUCCUGGAGCUCAACUCCAGAACUGCCUUUGAUACUGAGAAGCUUGAGUCCGGGAGAGGUGAGUGGAACUGCGAGUGUAGAGGUGAAAUUCGUAGAUAUUCGCAAGAACACCAGUGGCGAAGGCGGCUCACUGGCCCGGUACUGACGCUGAGGUGCGAAAGCGUGGGGAGCGAACAGG